GAUGAACGCUGGCGGCGUGCCUAAUACAUGCAAGUCGAGCGAACAGACGAGGAGCUUGCUCCUCUGACGUUAGCGGCGGACGGGUGAGUAACACGUGGAUAACCUACUUAUAUGACUGGGAUAACUUCGGGAAACCGGAGCUAAUACCGGAUAAUAUAUUGAACCGCAUGGUUCAAUAGUGAAAGACGGUUUUGCUGUCACUUAUAGCUGGAUCCGCGCCGCAUUAGCUAGUUGGUAAGGUAACGGCUUACCAAGGCAACGAUGCGUAGCCGACCUGAGAGGGUGAUCGGCCACACUGGAACUGAGACACGGUCCAGACUCCUACGGGAGGCAGCAGUAGGGAAUCUUCCGCAAUGGGCGAAAGCUUGACGGAGCAACGCCGCGUGAGUGAUGAAGGUCUUCGGAUCGUAAAACUCUGUUAUUAGGGAAGAACAAAUGUGUAAGUAACUAUGCACGUCUUGACGGUACCUAAUCAGAAAGCCACGGCUAACUACGUG
Molecule: ribosomal RNA, 497 nt
Filed under: uncultured bacterium
Lineage: Bacteria
Description: partial 16S ribosomal RNA
Rfam family: Bacterial small subunit ribosomal RNA
Source: RNAcentral